GACGAACCGUACGAACGUUAUUCGGAAUUACUGGGCUUAAAGGGUUUGUAGGCGGCCUUGUAAGUCAGGUGUGAAAGCCCUCGGCUCAACCGAGGAACAGCGCUUGAUACUGCAAGGCUUGAGGGAGACAGGGGUAAGCGGAACUGAUGGUGGAGCGGUGAAAUGCGUUGAUAUCAUCAGGAACACCGGUGGCGAAAGCGGCUUACUGGGUCUCUUCUGACGCUGAGGUACGAAAGCGUGGGGAGCAAACAGG
RNAcentral lists this ribosomal RNA (253 nucleotides) under uncultured bacterium. Its description in RNAcentral is "partial 16S ribosomal RNA". It matches the Rfam family "Bacterial small subunit ribosomal RNA", at positions 524 to 776 of the family's 1533-position model. The record is from RNAcentral.